Molecule: ribosomal RNA, 406 nt
Filed under: Teleophrys cristulipes
Lineage: Eukaryota; Metazoa; Arthropoda; Malacostraca; Decapoda; Mithracidae
Description: partial 16S ribosomal RNA
Rfam family: Archaeal large subunit ribosomal RNA
Source: RNAcentral
CAUAAUCAUUAGUUUUUUAAUUGAGAACUUGUAUGAAUGGUUGAACAAAAAAAAUACUGUCUCUAUAUUAUAAGUUGAAUUUAACUUUUAAGUGAAAAGGCUUAAAUUUUUUAGAGGGACGAUAAGACCCUAUAAAGCUUUAUAAAUAAAUUAGCGGUUUUGUAAACUUUAAUAUAAAAAAGACUUAUGAUUGUUUAUUAUGUUGGGGCGACACAGAUAAAAAAAUUUAUGUAACUAACAGAUAAAAAAACAAUUAUAUUUGUAAAUAAUGGUCCUUAAUAAAGAUUAAAAGAAAAAGUUACUUUAGGGAUAACAGCGUUAUUCUUUUUGAGAGUCCUUAUCGAAAAAAGAGUUUGUGACCUCGAUGUUGAAUCAUAAAAUCUUUCCAGUGCAGCAGUUGGAAAAG